GGGAGGGCGGCGCGGACUGCCGGAGCCUCCCCGGGAAGUACGGCGGCGCGGACGGCGCCCGCCCAAGAUUGCACUGAGAGGAGCUCACGCCCCCGAGAGCAUGAACCCUGGAAACCAUGCUUCAGUCCCACAGCCCAAGCUUUUGCUGAUUACCUGGCUGAACGCGAACAACCUGGGCCAGUCGGGGAUAUGAAACCUGGUUAGUCUCUGCUGGGCUCUGAACCAGGAAAUGAUGCAGAGAUGAGCUGGGCGGCUGUGUGGGCCAAGUACUUGUGGAGACAAAGGGCAAAUCAGCAGAGAGAAUAAAGUUGCUAAGAUCUUCACAUCCAGAUGAAUGAAAGUGGUGAUAGUGGCACC
Manis pentadactyla (Chinese pangolin) is the source of this 357-nucleotide long non-coding RNA. RefSeq lists it as uncharacterized. The transcript is spliced from 3 exons. Lineage: Eukaryota; Metazoa; Chordata; Mammalia; Pholidota; Manidae. The record is from RefSeq and is a predicted model, not a curated record.